CCCUUUAUAAUUAAUGCCCUUGAAAAUAUGAAAUGAAUCUUAUAUAUAAAAAGGGACAAAGAAAAAUGUAAAGAGAGUGUUAUAUUUAUGGACGGAAGAAGUAUUGUAAUUUUGCAGUGACAUUUAGUUUUCUAUAUCGUUUAAAAAGAAACAAAGCAAAAAAAUAUAAAAUUAUGCUUAAAUGAACAAACAUAAAAACAAAGAUUGUAUCAAUAUUAUGACGUAAAUAUAAAAUUAUAGGCUCAGAACAAACAUAAAAAUCAAUUUUCAAUUUAACUAGAAUUUUUUUUGGAUAUGCUUAAAUGAACACCACAAUGAUCAUUUCUCGUAUCAUGAUAUCUCAAAAUUAAGAUAAAAUAAUAUUUUUUAUGCUUUAUUUCAUUUCACUUGCAACAUCUUAAAGUACAAAAUCAAGGUUUGUGAAAUUAGAAAAGUUAUAUGAAAAUUCAUUUAUUGGGUGAUCAUAAUAAAUAAAUAAAUAAAUAAAUAAGAACUCAUGGAAUAUUCUAGUAGUGCUUUUGUAUAUUUUUUUGAGUCUGACAAUCAUAAAAUCUUUGGAGCCUU
RNAcentral lists this long non-coding RNA (564 nucleotides) under Trifolium pratense (red clover). RNAcentral's name for it is "long non-coding RNA (TPRA_LNC010559)". The record is from RNAcentral. Lineage: Eukaryota; Viridiplantae; Streptophyta; Magnoliopsida; Fabales; Fabaceae.